RNAcentral lists this ribosomal RNA (326 nucleotides) under uncultured eukaryote. RNAcentral's name for it is "partial 18S ribosomal RNA". It matches the Rfam family "Eukaryotic small subunit ribosomal RNA", at positions 1470 to 1796 of the family's 1831-position model. The record is from RNAcentral.
CCCUUAGAUGUUCUGGGCCGCACGCGCGCUACACUGAUGCAUUCAACAAGCCUAGCCUUGACCGAGAGGUCCGGGUAAUCUUUUGAAUGCGUACCGUGCUAGGGAUAGAUUAUUGCAAUUAUUAAUCUUGAACGAGGAAUUCCUAGUAAACGCAAGUCAUCAGCUUGCAUUGAUUACGUCCCUGCCCUUUGUACACACCGCCCGUCGCUACUACCGAUUGAAUGGCUUAGUGAGCCUUUGGGAUUGGCAGCCAACACCGGCAACGGUAGCUGGCCGCCGAAAACUUAUGCAAACUUGGUCAUUUAGAGGAAGUAAAAGUCGUAACA